GCGGGAUUAUGGUAUCACUGUCUUGCAUUCCUGUUGUUUUUCCCCAUCUAUAGUUACCUUAACGACUUGGACCGCAUAGCAGAUUCAGCCUAUCUGCCAACUCAGCAAGAUGUGCUUAGAGUUCGAGUCCCAACAACAGGGAUCAUUGAAUAUCCAUUUGACUUACAAAGCGUCAUUUUCAGAAUGGUGGAUGUAGGAGGGCAACGAUCAGAAAGAAGAAAAUGGAUACAUUGCUUUGAAAAUGUUACAUCUAUCAUGUUCCUAGUAGCUCUUAGUGAAUAUGAUCAAGUGCUUGUGGAGUCAGACAAUGAGGGCAGCCCAAAGGGGAAGUCUGUGGAUCCAAUGACUACCAACCUGUCAGCCUCACCUCCAUGCCCAGGAAGAUCAUGGAACAGAACCUCCAAGAAGCUAUGCUGAGACACAUGGAGAACAGGAAAGUGAUUCAAGAUGACCAGUAUGGCUUCACCAAGGGCAUAUCCUGCCUGAUCAACCAAGUGAUCUUCUAUGAUGGAGUGACUGCAUCAGUGGACAAGGGAAUAGCUACAAAUGUCAUUUAUCUGAACUUCUGUAUGGCCUUUGGCACAGUCCCCCACAACAACCUUCUCUCUAAAUUGGAGAGCUGUGUAUUUGAUGGCUCAACUAUUCAGUGGAUGAGGAAUUGGCUAGAUGGUUGCAUCCAGAGGGUAGUGGUGAACAGCUCAAUGUCCAGAUAGAGACCAAUGACAAGUGGCAUCCCACAGGGGUCCAAAUUGGGACCAGUGCUGUUUCAUAUCUGCAUCAGUGUCAUAGACAAUGGGUUUGAGUGCACCCUUGGCAAGUUUGCAAAUGACACCCAACUGAGCGGUGCAGUUGACACACCUGAAGGACAGGAUGCCAUCCAGAGGGACCUGAACAAGCUCUAGAGAUGGGCCCAUAUAAACCUCAUGAAGUUCAACAAGGCCAAGUGCAAGGGCCUGCACCUGGUUUGGGGCAACCCCCAGUACAGGCUGGGGGAUGAAGGCAUUGAGAGCAGCCCUGAGGAGAGGGACUUGAGUAUCGGCGGAUGAAAAACUGUACAUGAGCUGGCAAUGUGCACUUGCAGCCCAGAAAACCAACUGAAUCCUGGGUUACAUACAAAGAAGUGUGGCCAACAAGUCAAGGGAGGUGAUUGUCCCUCUCUACUACAUUCUCGUGAGACCCCACCUGGAGUCUUGUAUCCAGCUCUGGAGUCCUCAGUACAAGAAAGACAUGGAUCUGUAAGGGCAGGUCCACAUAAACAAAGUGUAUUUUUGUCAGAAUGUGGUUGGGGCAGAAAUAUAAAAAUGUUUAAAAUGUGUUAGUUCUCACCUUAAAUUAAGAAACUGACAAUAAAUAUUAUUCUUAUUCCUCACUGUGAUGUGUCAGAUUCAUUAAGGAAAGCAAUAAUUGAACUUGACUGCUUUGGUAAUCAGUCAAUGGAUAUAUAUUUUUACAUGUCAUAAUUCAAAUAAACUUUGAACUGUGAAAGACUUAAAAUUUCAACACCAAAUUGAGUGUAUAAAUGCCCUACUUUUUUCUUACAUAUAGCAUUAGUGUGAUACUAUGAUAGAAUCUAAUCCUUCUUUGAUACUUGUGCCUGUCAACUGUGUUAGAGAUCUGACUCAAAAAACUUGCAGCGUUCUGCUGCUCCUCUUGCAUUGCUUUCAUAGUCAAAUUAAACCGUAUGAAUUUUGUAAGAUG
This is a long non-coding RNA of Myiozetetes cayanensis, 1698 nucleotides long. RefSeq lists it as uncharacterized. Lineage: Eukaryota; Metazoa; Chordata; Aves; Passeriformes; Tyrannidae. The record is from RefSeq and is a predicted model, not a curated record. The transcript is spliced from 3 exons.